Oncorhynchus nerka (sockeye salmon) is the source of this 257-nucleotide long non-coding RNA. RefSeq lists it as uncharacterized. NCBI's taxonomy places the organism in Eukaryota, Metazoa, Chordata, Actinopteri, Salmoniformes, Salmonidae. The transcript is spliced from 2 exons. The record is from RefSeq and is a predicted model, not a curated record.
CUCCAGACGGGGUUCCGGUGUAGAAGGAUGAUUCCAGACACCGUCUCUCCACCGAGCAGCGAGAUCGGCCCGUCCAGCAUGAACAGAGUCUGCUUCCAGCUCUGGAACUGAACUUUGAACCAGGAAGUGAACCCGUGGAACGUCCCAGCCUUUUCCACGAUGAAGGUAAACUGGCCCCUCAGCUUCUAGACAGGGAACUCGUUGACUUACAUGUAUGUGUGUGUGAAUUACAUGUUAUUAUAUUGUUUUACACCAUG